This 468-nucleotide ribosomal RNA is filed under the name uncultured bacterium. RNAcentral describes it as "partial 16S ribosomal RNA". It matches the Rfam family "Bacterial small subunit ribosomal RNA", at positions 28 to 507 of the family's 1533-position model. The record is from RNAcentral.
GACGAACGCUGGCGGCGUGCUUAACACAUGCAAGUCGAACGGAAAGGCCCUGCUUUUGUGGGGUGCUCGAGUGGCGAACGGGUGAGUAACACGUGAGUAACCUGCCCUUGACUUUGGGAUAACUUCAGGAAACUGGGGCUAAUACCGGAUAGGAGCUCCUGCUGCAUGGUGGGGGUUGGAAAGUUUCGGCGGUUGGGGAUGGACUCGCGGCUUAUCAGCUUGUUGGUGGGGUAGUGGCUUACCAAGGCUUUGACGGGUAGCCGGCCUGAGAGGGUGACCGGCCACAUUGGGACUGAGAUAAGGCCAAGACUCCUACGGGAGGCAGCAGUGGGGAAUAUUGCACAAUGGGCGGAAGCCUGAUGCAGCAACGCCGCGUGCGGGAUGACGGCCUUCGGGUUGUAAACCGCUUUCGCCUGUGACGAAGCGUGAGUGACGGUAAUGGGUAAAGAAGCACCGGCUAACUACGUG